Molecule: long non-coding RNA, 112 nt
Organism: Xiphophorus hellerii (green swordtail)
Lineage: Eukaryota; Metazoa; Chordata; Actinopteri; Cyprinodontiformes; Poeciliidae
Exons: 4
Source: RefSeq, a predicted model, not a curated record
UCUUUGUUUACACGGUAAUGGUACAUAUCGAAAAGGUGUAAUGCUCUCGCCACACCACUAGUUGGUGCUAGGUUCUUUGAAACUAAUGCAUGUUUUUAAAAGAUAAAGUUAU